Molecule: non-coding RNA, 23 nt
Filed under: Cricetulus griseus (Chinese hamster)
Lineage: Eukaryota; Metazoa; Chordata; Mammalia; Rodentia; Cricetidae
Source: RNAcentral
CUGGUGUGACAGAAUCCAUGUAG